This 315-nucleotide unclassified non-coding RNA is filed under the name plant metagenome. RNAcentral describes it as "partial contains small subunit ribosomal RNA, internal transcribed spacer 1, and 5.8S ribosomal RNA". The record is from RNAcentral.
UUUCCGUAGGUGAACCUGCGGAAGGAUCAUUCACGAGGUAAAAGCCUAUGUCCGAGUGAAUGUGAUUGAUGAGAAUAAGCCGGUCGAAGACUGGCUAUUCGAGGCAAUUGCAUUUUCACGGAAUACAUGGCAUAAGUGCCGGUGUGCAAGUUGUUGUUGGUGUGUGUGGUUUGAGCUGGAAAAUGACAAUAUUGUCAUUGACAAUCAAUCUCAUCCAUCACCAUCAACGCCCACUAUUAGACACCAGAUUCAUCGUUUGACUGUCACAUAUUCAGGAAAUAAAUACAACUUUUAACAAUGGAUCUCUUGGCUCUU